AGUGAACGCUGGCGGUAGGCCUAACACAUGCAAGUCGAACGGCAGCACAGUAAGAGCUUGCUCUUACGGGUGGCGAGUGGCGGACGGGUGAGGAAUACAUCGGAAUCUACUUUUUCGUGGGGGACAACGUAGGGAAACUUACGCUAAUACCGCAUACGACCUACGGGUGAAAGCAGGGGAUCUUCGGACCUUGCGCGAUUGAAUGAGCCGAUGUCGGAUUAGCUAGUUGGCGGGGUAAAGGCCCACCAAGGCGACGAUCCGUAGCUGGUCUGAGAGGAUGAUCAGCCACACUGGAACUGAGACACGGUCCAGACUCCUACGGGAGGCAGCAGUGGGGAAUAUUGGACAAUGGGCGCAAGCCUGAUCCAGCCAUACCGCGUGAGUGAAGAAGGCCUUCGGGUUGUAAAGCCCUUUUGUUGGGAAAGAAAAGCAGCAGGUUAAUACCCCGCUGUUCUGACGGUACCCAAAGAAUAAGCACCGGCUAACUUCGUG
This 492-nucleotide ribosomal RNA is filed under the name uncultured bacterium. Its description in RNAcentral is "partial 16S ribosomal RNA". It matches the Rfam family "Bacterial small subunit ribosomal RNA", at positions 29 to 507 of the family's 1533-position model. The record is from RNAcentral.